GGGGAUGUAGCCCAGCAGGUUAGAGCGCUUCGCUCACAUCGAAGAGGUCGUAGGUUCGAGCCCUAUCAUCCCCACCA
This 77-nucleotide transfer RNA is filed under the name Clostridiales bacterium. Its description in RNAcentral is "tRNA-Val". It matches the Rfam family "tRNA". Rfam says of the family: Transfer RNA (tRNA) molecules are approximately 80 nucleotides in length. Their secondary structure includes four short double-helical elements and three loops (D, anti-codon, and T loops). Further hydrogen bonds mediate the characteristic L-shaped molecular structure. tRNAs have two regions of fundamental functional importance: the anti-codon, which is responsible for specific mRNA codon recognition, and the 3' end, to which the tRNAs corresponding amino acid is attached (by aminoacyl-tRNA synthetases). tRNAs cope with the degeneracy of the genetic code in two manners: having more than one tRNA (with a specific anti-codon) for a particular amino acid; and 'wobble' base-pairing, i.e. permitting non-standard base-pairing at the 3rd anti-codon position. Lineage: Bacteria; Bacillati; Bacillota; Clostridia; Eubacteriales. RNAcentral also lists the same sequence under 2 other names. The record is from RNAcentral.